GAUGAACGCUGGCGGCGUGCCUAAUACAUGCAAGUCGAGCGAACGGACGAGAAGCUUGCUUCUCUAAUGUUAGCGGCGGACGGGUGAGUAACACGUGGAUAACCUACCUAUAAGACUGGGAUAACUUCGGGAAACCGUAGCUAAUACCGGAUAAUAUUUUGAACCGCAUGGUUCAAAAGUGAAAGACGGUCUUGCUGUCACUUAUAGAUGGAUCCGCGCUGCACUAGCUAGUUGGUAAGGUAACGGCUUACCAAGGCAACGAUGCAUAGCCGACCUGAGAGGGUGAUCGGCCACACUGGAACUGAGACACGGUCCAGACUCCUACGGGAGGCAGCAGUAGGGAAUCUUCCGCAAUGGGCGAAAGCCUGACGGAGCAACGCCGCGUGAGUGAUGAAGGUCUUCGGAUCGUAAAACUCUGUUAUUAGGGAAGAACAUAUGUGUAAGUAACUGUGCACAUCUUGACGGUACCUAAUCAGAAAGCCACGGCUAACUACGUG
This 497-nucleotide ribosomal RNA is filed under the name uncultured bacterium. RNAcentral's name for it is "partial 16S ribosomal RNA". It matches the Rfam family "Bacterial small subunit ribosomal RNA", at positions 28 to 507 of the family's 1533-position model. The record is from RNAcentral.